Molecule: long non-coding RNA, 2032 nt
Organism: Pogona vitticeps (central bearded dragon)
Lineage: Eukaryota; Metazoa; Chordata; Lepidosauria; Squamata; Agamidae
Source: Ensembl
GGGGGAUUAACUCUGAUAGUCAUUGUAACCUAUGGCUCUAGGGCCUCAAUUUUUGAAAACAGCACUUUUUGCAAAAAAAGGUAAAAUUAAAAUAAAUCAACAAUAGGUUUAUAUUCUCAGAAUACAGCCAGUUUUGCCUUAUUAUCAAGAAAUAUUUGUAUAGCUCCAGCUCGUUCCUCAACGAAGUAUCCCUAUAUUGGCAUCAUUUAUGCUGACUAGCAAUAGAGCGUUUGUAAUACACUGUACUGCAGUUUUGUCAAUAAAAGUGGAAGACAAAUCAAAGCUUCGCACUAAAGAUUGGCAUGAACCUCAGUUCAUUGGUUUCUGCUGGUUCACAGGACCAGCAUUACAGGUGCAGCGUGUUCCCUUCCCCUACCCCAUCUCCAUCCGGAUCCUCCACUCACCAGCUGGCACGCACCACUCUUCUCUUCUUUGGGCAUUUGACCAGACCUGGCAGGAGCACAUGCUUCUCUUCUCCACCUCCUCUAGCAGCCCUCACUCAAAGGCAGCACUGCAGGAAUCUCUGCCCUGCCUCCUUGACUGAGUGGGCAGCUGCUAGAGGAGGUGGAGGAGGAAAGCAUGGCCUCCUUCUGGGACUGGCUGAAUGCUAGAAGAGGAGAAGAACAGUGUGGGCUGGCUGGUGAAUGGAGGAUCUGGCCAGGGGGGCGGGGAAGGGAACGCAUGGCACCUGUGGUGCUGGUCUGACAAACGGGCACAAAUCUCUGAAUUGAGGUUUGUACUCAUCUGUACUUCAUACAUAUCUUAGUUUCAGUGGUUAAAGAAAAGAAGCCAGAAAACUCUGGAUAGAAUCCAGAUUCAUCAUAGUUAGAGAAGCUCCAUUAUUUCAAUGGAAUGGAAGUUAUGUCAGUUCCAGGUAUAACUGGGUUCCAUUCCAAAACUGUCUGUAGAUUUCAUAUACAAUGAUAGCUUAAGGGUCAUCAGGCAUUAUCAACCUGCCCCCCCCCAAAAAAGGAGUCUUUCAGAAAGGAUAUUAAUUUUACCCCUAUCUCUCCAUAAAUUACAUAAUUACAAUUACAACCCACUUAAUUCCAUAUGCUCUACACCUGCAAAAUCCUUAGUAUUAGAUCCUGCCUAUACAGCUUGCUCAUGUGUGAUCGGUUCAGCUGAUUUAAGCAAAUAGAAAUGCCUUAAAGAAUUGCACACAUUCACUAUCCAUGACUUGGAGACUAUUCUGAAAUGUAAAGCAAGUACCAUAAACUUGUGAGUAAGGAACUCUCACUCUGCAAUACAUCAUCUAUUAUUGGUUGGGCAGACCAUUUCCAUUCACGAAAACAGGACAGCAGAAAGUUUCUGUGCACACCACUGGAUCACCGAUGUUACCUUCAUCGAGAAAUACGUGUUGCUGAGCCAGAUGUUACUCUCUGGUCAAAUCUCAGUGUGAGUGUAUUUUCUAUUAGUAUGCAGAAAACAGGGUGUUUCACUACCAAAGCAGUUUGUCUGCUGCAUACUGUAUGAGUGAGAAUACGGACGCAUCAGUACAUUGCUAAGAGUUUAUUCUGAAGCUUUUGCUUUAUGUCUUUAUCACAAAAGACAGUUUAAGUUGCAAGAAGUUAUUAGAAACUGAGAUGGUACCCCCCCUCCCCACCGGUUAAAUUUCUACUAUUAUAAAAGUAGACCACAGGAGACUGUUCUGAGCCAUCUUCAAAAAGCGGACCAAUCUUUUUUUGUAUAUAAACUGUACACAACAAAAAUCCAAAACAAAAAUCAAGGCACUAUACAUUUUUGGGAUAUCAAAGAUGGAUUCAGAGAGUUUCCCAAGAAACCCGUGUGAUAAUGCUUUGUUCAGUUUAGCACCUGAAGCAGCACUGAGACCAAUUCAUUGUCUAUUAAAAAAAAAAAGAACAAUUCAGAAUGAGAGAGAUAGGAAGAGAGACAGAGAGAGAGAGACUGACAGCUGCGCAUGUGCUCAUAGGUGGUUUAACGAGCAGCCACACUGCCUGGCCAAUUUCCUGAAAUGUUUUCUCCACAGAAGUCUCGGAAACAAAUAAUAAACAUUGCAUUGUUAAAUACA